Molecule: unclassified non-coding RNA, 334 nt
Filed under: soil metagenome
Description: partial contains 5.8S ribosomal RNA, internal transcribed spacer 2, and large subunit ribosomal RNA
Rfam family: 5.8S ribosomal RNA (bases 1-120)
Source: RNAcentral
GAUGAAGAACGUAGUGAAAUGCGAUACGUAAUGUGAAUUGCAGAAUUCAGUGAAUCAUCGAAUCUUUGAACGCACAUUGCGCCUGCCAGCACUCUGGCAGGCAUGCCUGUUCGAGCGUCAUUUCAACCAUCAAGCCCUAGGCUUGUGUUGGAGCCCUGCGGCUGCCGCAGGCCCCUAAAAGCAGUGGCGGGCUCGCUAUCACACCGAGUGCAGUAGAUUACUCUUCGCUCAGGGCGUGUGGCGGGUUCCAGCCGUGAAACCCCCUACUUCUCAAGGUUGACCUCGGAUCAGGUAGGAAUACCCGCUGAACUUAAGCAUAUCAAUAAGCGGAGGA